This 497-nucleotide ribosomal RNA is filed under the name uncultured bacterium. Its description in RNAcentral is "partial 16S ribosomal RNA". It matches the Rfam family "Bacterial small subunit ribosomal RNA", at positions 28 to 507 of the family's 1533-position model. The record is from RNAcentral.
GAUGAACGCUGGCGGCGUGCCUAAUACAUGCAAGUCGAGCGAACAGACGAGGAGCUUGCUCCUCUGACGUUAGCGGCGGACGGGUGAGUAACACGUGGAUAACCUACCUAUAAGACUGGGAUAACUUCGGGAAACCGGAGCUAAUACCGGAUAACAUGUUGAACCGCAUGGUUCAACAGUGAAAGACGGUCUUGCUGUCACUUAUAGAUGGAUCCGCGCCGCAUUAGCUAGUUGGUAAGGUAACGGCUUACCAAGGCAACGAUGCGUAGCCGACCUGAGAGGGUGAUCAGCCACACUGGAACUGAGACACGGUCCAGACUCCUACGGGAGGCAGCAGUAGGGAAUAUUCCGCAAUGGGCGAAAGCCUGACGGAGCAACGCCGCGUGAGUGAAGAAGGUCUUCGGAUCGUAAAACUCUGUUAUUAGGGAAGAACAAAUGUGUAAGUAACUAUGCACGUCUUGACGGUACCUAAUCAGAAAGCCACGGCUAACUACGUG